UAUCUCUGCCAGCCUGCAUGAUGACCUGCUCAAAUGUCACAGCAGCAGCAGCAGCGAUCCAGGCAGUCUCCUAACAGAAAGAUAAAAAAGUCACCGGCUGCGGCCCGCGAUUAAGCCCCGCCCCUUGAGAACUGGCUCCGCCCCCUCUUCAAACACCCGCGAAUCACAGGUUGUGUAGACUGCAGUGCAGAGGGAGAAUCCGUCCUUGCUGUGCAGGUUGAUCUCUGCCUCCCUCCGUCCCUCGUCCACUGUGCAACGCUGCUGCUGCUCAUGCUGUUCCCAUUUUACACUGUUCCACCAAGGAAGAAGAAGGUCUCAAAGACCGAGAAGACCACUAGAGCUAUGUUCACCAUAAUGGUUGAGCAGCUGAGGGAGAGUUCAGCUAUGCAGGCGCAAGAAGAUACCCAUAUGUAGAGGUUCUUCGAUAAUGACUGGGAGCUACAAAACACAUUCAUGACCCAGCUAAUGUCAAUGCAUGAGUGUAUCAGCAGAGAGAAUAGAGAAAGUGCGAUGGCUUGCCUAGAUCAUCUAGUAUCUAGAGUCCAAGGUUUCACACCACAGCAACAACACUCCCCACACUAUUCUAGGGGAAGUUAUCCCAAUUACACCAGAGGGAAAAAUAAUUUUGACCCUAACACAGUAAGUACUUCACAUAAUCCUGACUACACGGGUUGUCGGAUGUUGCAGCAAAUCUUUUUUUUUUUAAAUUGCCUUUUUUUAGCCAAAUGCAUUAGGGAUGUUACAGUAGGUUAUUUAAAAA
Molecule: long non-coding RNA, 760 nt
Organism: Pseudophryne corroboree (corroboree frog)
Lineage: Eukaryota; Metazoa; Chordata; Amphibia; Anura; Myobatrachidae
Exons: 3
Source: RefSeq, a predicted model, not a curated record